Molecule: ribosomal RNA, 301 nt
Filed under: uncultured bacterium
Lineage: Bacteria
Description: partial 16S ribosomal RNA
Rfam family: Bacterial small subunit ribosomal RNA
Source: RNAcentral
CAGUCGCCGCGGGAAUACAGAGGGUGCGAGCGUUAAUCGGAUUUACUGGGCGUAAAGCGUGCGUAGGCGGCUUCUUAAGUCGGAUGUGAAAUCCCUGAGCUUAACUUAGGAAUUGCAUUCGAUACUGGGAAGCUAGAGUAUGGGAGAGGAUGGUAGAAUUCCAGGUGUAGCGGUGAAAUGCGUAGAGAUCUGGAGGAAUACCGAUGGCGAAGGCAGCCAUCUGGCUUAAUACUGACGCUGAGGUACGAAAGCAUGGGGAGCAAACAGGAUUAGAGACCCCCGUAGUCCCUGUCUCUUAUAA